RNAcentral lists this ribosomal RNA (253 nucleotides) under uncultured bacterium. Its description in RNAcentral is "partial 16S ribosomal RNA". It matches the Rfam family "Bacterial small subunit ribosomal RNA", at positions 524 to 776 of the family's 1533-position model. The record is from RNAcentral.
UACGGGGGGGGCAAGCGUUGUUCGGAAUUACUGGGCGUAAAGGGCUCGUAGGCGGCCAACUAAGUCAGACGUGAAAUCCCUCGGCUUAACCGGGGAACUGCGUCUGAUACUGGAUGGCUCGAGUGCGGCAGAGGAGACUGGAAUUCCUGGUGUAGCAGUGAAAUGCGUAGAUAUCGUAAGGAAGACCAGUGGCGAAGGCGGGUCUCUGGACAGUUCCUGACGCUGAGGCACGAAGGUCAGGGGAGCAAACGGG